This 1244-nucleotide ribosomal RNA is filed under the name Bacillus safensis. RNAcentral's name for it is "bacterial SSU rRNA". It matches the Rfam family "Bacterial small subunit ribosomal RNA", at positions 94 to 1325 of the family's 1533-position model. Lineage: Bacteria; Bacillati; Bacillota; Bacilli; Caryophanales; Bacillaceae. The record is from RNAcentral.
AGCGGCGGACGGGUGAGUAAUACGUGGGUAACCUGCCUGUAAGACUGGGAUAACUCCGGGAAACCGGAGCUAAUACCGGAUAGUUCCUUGAACCGCAUGGUUCAAGGAUGAAAGACGGUUUCGGCUGUCACUUACAGAUGGACCCGCGGCGCAUUAGCUAGUUGGUGGGGUAAUGGCUCACCAAGGCGACGAUGCGUAGCCGACCUGAGAGGGUGAUCGGCCACACUGGGACUGAGACACGGCCCAGACUCCUACGGGAGGCAGCAGUAGGGAAUCUUCCGCAAUGGACGAAAGUCUGACGGAGCAACGCCGCGUGAGUGAUGAAGGUUUUCGGAUCGUAAAGCUCUGUUGUUAGGGAAGAACAAGUGCGAGAGUAACUGCUCGCACCUUGACGGUACCUAACCAGAAAGCCACGGCUAACUACGUGCCAGCAGCCGCGGUAAUACGUAGGUGGCAAGCGUUGUCCGGAAUUAUUGGGCGUAAAGGGCUCGCAGGCGGUUUCUUAAGUCUGAUGUGAAAGCCCCCGGCUCAACCGGGGAGGGUCAUUGGAAACUGGGAAACUUGAGUGCAGAAGAGGAGAGUGGAAUUCCACGUGUAGCGGUGAAAUGCGUAGAGAUGUGGAGGAACACCAGUGGCGAAGGCGACUCUCUGGUCUGUAACUGACGCUGAGGAGCGAAAGCGUGGGGAGCGAACAGGAUUAGAUACCCUGGUAGUCCACGCCGUAAACGAUGAGUGCUAAGUGUUAGGGGGUUUCCGCCCCUUAGUGCUGCAGCUAACGCAUUAAGCACUCCGCCUGGGGAGUACGGUCGCAAGACUGAAACUCAAAGGAAUUGACGGGGGCCCGCACAAGCGGUGGAGCAUGUGGUUUAAUUCGAAGCAACGCGAAGAACCUUACCAGGUCUUGACAUCCUCUGACAACCCUAGAGAUAGGGCUUUCCCUUCGGGGACAGAGUGACAGGUGGUGCAUGGUUGUCGUCAGCUCGUGUCGUGAGAUGUUGGGUUAAGUCCCGCAACGAGCGCAACCCUUGAUCUUAGUUGCCAGCAUUCAGUUGGGCACUCUAAGGUGACUGCCGGUGACAAACCGGAGGAAGGUGGGGAUGACGUCAAAUCAUCAUGCCCCUUAUGACCUGGGCUACACACGUGCUACAAUGGACAGAACAAAGGGCUGCAAGACCGCAAGGUUUAGCCAAUCCCAUAAAUCUGUUCUCAGUUCGGAUCGCAGUCUGCAACUCGACUGCGUGAAG